GUGGGGAAUUUUGGACAAUGGGCGCAAGCCUGAUCCAGCAAUGCCGCGUGCAGGAAGAAGGCCUUCGGGUUGUAAACUGCUUUUGUACGGAACGAAACGGUCCUGGUUAAUACCUGGGGCUAAUGACGGUACCGUAAGAAUAAGCACCGGCUAACUACGUGCCAGCAGCCGCGGUAAUACGUAGGGUGCGAGCGUUAAUCGGAAUUACUGGGCGUAAAGCGUGCGCAGGCGGUUUUGUAAGACAGGCGUGAAAUCCCCGGGCUCAACCUGGGAAUUGCGCUUGUGACUGCAAGGCUGGAGUGCGGCAGAGGGGGAUGGAAUUCCGCGUGUAGCAGUGAAAUGCGUAGAUAUGCGGAGGAACACCGAUGGCGAAGGCAAUCCCCUGGGCCUGCACUGACGCUCAUGCACGAAAGCGUGGGGAGCAAACAGGAUUAGAAACCCGAGUAGUCC
Molecule: ribosomal RNA, 450 nt
Filed under: uncultured bacterium
Lineage: Bacteria
Description: partial 16S ribosomal RNA
Rfam family: Bacterial small subunit ribosomal RNA
Source: RNAcentral